RNAcentral lists this ribosomal RNA (513 nucleotides) under uncultured bacterium. RNAcentral describes it as "partial 16S ribosomal RNA". It matches the Rfam family "Bacterial small subunit ribosomal RNA", at positions 28 to 523 of the family's 1533-position model. The record is from RNAcentral.
GAUGAACGCUGGCGGCGUGCCUAAUACAUGCAAGUCGAGCGAACAGAUAAGGAGCUUGCUCCUUUGAGGUUAGCGGCGGACGGGUGAGUAACACGUGGGUAACCUACCUAUAAGACUGGGAUAACUUCGGGAAACCGGAGCUAAUACCGGAUAACAUUUAGAACCGCAUGGUUCUAAAGUGAAAGAUGGUUUUGCUAUCACUUAUAGAUGGACCCGCGCCGUAUUAGCUAGUUGGUAAGGUAACGGCUUACCAAGGCGACGAUACGUAGCCGACCUGAGAGGGUGAUCGGCCACACUGGAACUGAGACACGGUCCAGGCUCCUACGGGAGGCAGCAGUAGGGAAUCUUCCGCAAUGGGCGAAAGCCUGACGGAGCAACGCCGCGUGAGUGAUGAAGGGUUUCGGCUCGUAAAACUCUGUUAUUAGGGAAGAACAAAUGUGUAAGUAACUGUGCACAUCUUGACGGUACCUAAUCAGAAAGCCACGGCUAACUACGUGCCAGCCGCCGCCGUAA